Molecule: ribosomal RNA, 892 nt
Filed under: uncultured archaeon
Lineage: Archaea
Description: bacterial SSU rRNA
Rfam family: Archaeal small subunit ribosomal RNA
Source: RNAcentral
AAGCCAUGCGAGUCGCACGUUUCCUAUCCACGGUGGAAACGUGGCAUACGGCUCAGUAAAACACGAUCAACCUACCCUUAAGACGGAUACAAACUCGGGAAACUGAGGCUAAUAUUCGAUAGUGAGAAUUGCUUGGAAUUAGCGUCUCGCCAAAAGGGUGUUGGAGCCAUGCUUCUGAUACUGCUUAAGGAUGGGAUCAUGCCCGAUCAGGCUGUUGGUGAUGUAACGGAUCACCAAACCUAUAACCGGCACGGGCCGUGAGAGCGGGAGCCCGGAGAUGGUCCCUGAGACAAGGGUCCAGGCCCUACGGGGCGCACAGGCGCGAAAACUCCGCAAUGCGCGAAAGCGUGACGGGGUCACCCCGAGUGCCACCUGCAGAAGGUGGCUUUUCCUCGGUAUAAUCAGCCGGGGGAAUAAGGGGAGGGCAAGCCUGGUGUCAGCCGCCGCGGUAAUACCAGCUCCCCGAGUGGUGAGGACGAUUAUUGGGCCUAAAGCAUCCGUAGCCGGUCUAGUAAGUUUCUCGUCAAAUCUGGCGAUCCAAUCGUCAGACCGCGGGAAAUACUGCUAGCUAGGGGCGGAAGAGGCCGACGGUACUCUUAGGUAGGGUGAAAUCCUAUAAUCCCGAGAGGACCACCAGUGGCGAAGGCGGUCGGCCAGAACGCGCCCGACGGUGAGGGAUGAAAGCUGGGGGAGCGAACCGGAUUAAUACCCGGGUAUCCCAGCUGUAAACGAUGCGAGCUAAGUGUCAGGAUGGCUUUAAAGUCAUUCUGGUGCUGCAGGGAAGCCGAUAAGCUCGCCGCCUGGGGAAGUACGGUUGCAGGUGAAACUUAAGGAAUUGGCGGGGGGACACCACAGGGGUGAAGCUUGCGGUUUAAUUGGAGUCAACGCCGGG